RNAcentral lists this ribosomal RNA (253 nucleotides) under uncultured bacterium. Its description in RNAcentral is "partial 16S ribosomal RNA". It matches the Rfam family "Bacterial small subunit ribosomal RNA", at positions 524 to 776 of the family's 1533-position model. The record is from RNAcentral.
UACGUAGGGUGCGAGCGUUAAUCGGAAUUACUGGGCGUAAAGCGUGCGCAGGCGGUUCGUCGUGUCUGAUGUGAAAGCCCCGGGCUCAACCUGGGAAUGGCAUUGGAAACUGGCGGACUAGAGUGUGGCAGAGGGGGGUGGAAUUCCGCGUGUAGCAGUGAAAUGCGUAGAGAUGCGGAGGAACACCGAUGGCGAAGGCAGCCCCCUGGGCUAACACUGACGCUCAGGCACGAAAGCGUGGGGAGCAAACAGG